GAUAAAGAACGCAGCGAAAUGCGAUACGUAAUGUGAAUUGCAGAAUUCAGUGAAUCAUCGAAUCUUUGAACGCAUAUUGCGCUCUCUGGUAUUCCGGAGAGCAUGCUUGUUUGAGUAUCAGUAAACACCUCAACUCCCUUUUCUUUUUUGAAAUGGGAGCUGGACUUGAGUGAUCCCAACACUUUUCUCACUGGAAAGUGGCGGGUCACUUGAAAUGCAGGUGCAGCUGGACUUUUCUCUGAGCUAUAAGCAUAUCUAUUUAGUCUGCCUAAAAAACAGAUUAUUACCUUUGCUGCAGCUAACAUAAAGGAGAUGAGUUCUUGUGCUGACUGAUGCAGGAUUCACAGAGACAGCUUUGCGGCUGACUUUGUAAACUCGAUCUCAAAUCAAGUAAGACUACCCGCUGAACUUAAGCAUAUCAAUAAGCGGAGGA
RNAcentral lists this unclassified non-coding RNA (433 nucleotides) under soil metagenome. RNAcentral's name for it is "partial contains 5.8S ribosomal RNA, internal transcribed spacer 2, and large subunit ribosomal RNA". The stretch from base 1 to 120 matches the Rfam family "5.8S ribosomal RNA", at positions 35 to 154 of the family's 154-position model. The record is from RNAcentral.